This 129-nucleotide ribosomal RNA is filed under the name Ceratobasidium sp. Its description in RNAcentral is "partial large subunit ribosomal RNA". It matches the Rfam family "Eukaryotic large subunit ribosomal RNA", at positions 99 to 225 of the family's 3401-position model. The record is from RNAcentral. Lineage: Eukaryota; Fungi; Basidiomycota; Agaricomycetes; Cantharellales; Ceratobasidiaceae.
CGGGAAGAGCUCAAAUUUAAAAUCUGGCAGCCUUGUGUUGUCCGAGUUGUAGUCUAGAGAAGCAUCAUCCGUGCUGGACCAUGUACAAGUCUCUUGGAACAGAGCGUCAUAGAGGGUGAGAAUCCCGUC